CUCUUGCUUCUGCUUCAUCUUUGUCGUCAACUGGUUUCAUGGCAACAGACUAAUUUGAUUCUUCUUUUCCCUCUGAAGGAAGUCAGAGUGUUCUGAAUCUCACUGACAUGGAGAGCAGCUCCUUACUUGGGAUAUUUCUCCUGCUGAUGUGCUAUAUCAACAGCAGCUGCCUGUUUUCAUAUUCAGCACCUGGAAAACUCUGGGUCUCCAUUACCAAAUAUCAAACUAAUAAUUGCUGGGAAUCAAGAUGGUUAAGCAGAAAAAUAUAACCAUCCUCCACAGAAGAAGCUGCAAUACUCAAGAGUCUUAUGGAAUAAAAUACUAUUUCUGCAC
Lonchura striata (white-rumped munia) is the source of this 333-nucleotide non-coding RNA. NCBI's taxonomy places the organism in Eukaryota, Metazoa, Chordata, Aves, Passeriformes, Estrildidae. The record is from RefSeq and is a predicted model, not a curated record.